Molecule: ribosomal RNA, 703 nt
Filed under: Variovorax sp.
Lineage: Bacteria; Pseudomonadati; Pseudomonadota; Betaproteobacteria; Burkholderiales; Comamonadaceae
Description: bacterial SSU rRNA
Rfam family: Bacterial small subunit ribosomal RNA
Source: RNAcentral
CAGUCGACGGCAGCGCGGGAGCAAUCCUGGCGGCGAGUGGCGAACGGGUGAGUAAUACAUCGGAACGUGCCCAAUCGUGGGGGAUAACGCAGCGAAAGCUGUGCUAAUACCGCAUACGAUCUACGGAUGAAAGCAGGGGAUCGCAAGACCUUGCGCGAAUGGAGCGGCCGAUGGCAGAUUAGGUAGUUGGUGGGGUAAAGGCUCACCAAGCCUUCGAUCUGUAGCUGGUCUGAGAGGACGACCAGCCACACUGGGACUGAGACACGGCCCAGACUCCUACGGGAGGCAGCAGUGGGGAAUUUUGGACAAUGGGCGCAAGCCUGAUCCAGCCAUGCCGCGUGCAGGAUGAAGGCCUUCGGGUUGUAAACUGCUUUUGUACGGAACGAAACGGCUCUUUCUAAUAAAGAGGGCUAAUGACGGUACCGUAAGAAUAAGCACCGGCUAACUACGUGCCAGCAGCCGCGGUAAUACGUAGGGUGCAAGCGUUAAUCGGAAUUACUGGGCGUAAAGCGUGCGCAGGCGGUGAUGUAAGACAGUUGUGAAAUCCCCGGGCUCAACCUGGGAACUGCAUCUGUGACUGCAUCGCUGGAGUACGGCAGAGGGGGAUGGAAUUCCGCGUGUAGCAGUGAAAUGCGUAGAUAUGCGGAGGAACACCGAUGGCGAAGGCAAUCCCCUGGGCCUGUACUGACGCUCAUGCACGAAA